Molecule: ribosomal RNA, 496 nt
Filed under: uncultured bacterium
Lineage: Bacteria
Description: partial 16S ribosomal RNA
Rfam family: Bacterial small subunit ribosomal RNA
Source: RNAcentral
AUGCACGCUGGCGGCGUGCCUCAUCCAUGCAAGUCGAGCGAACAGACGAGGAGCUUGCUCCUCUGACGUUAGCGGCGGACGGGUGAGUAACACGUGGAUAACCUACCUAUAAGACUGGGAUAACUUCGGGAAACCGGAGCUAAUACCGGAUAAUAUAUUGAACCGCAUGGUUCAAUAGUGAAAGACGGUUUUGCUGUCACUUAUAGAUGGAUCCGCGCCGCAUUAGCUAGUUGGUAAGGUAACGGCUUACCAAGGCAACGAUGCGUAGCCGACCUGAGAGGGUGGUCGGCCACACUGGAACUGAGACACGGUCCAGACUCCUACGGGAGGCAGCAGUAGGGAAUCUUCCGCAAUGGGCGAAAGCCUGACGGAGCAACGCCGCGUGAGUGAUGAAGGUCUUCGGAUCGUAAAACUCUGUUAUUAGGGAAGAACAAAUGUGUAAGUAACUAUGCACGUCUUGACGGUACCUAAUCAGAAAGCCACGGCUAACUACGUG